Molecule: ribosomal RNA, 442 nt
Filed under: uncultured bacterium
Lineage: Bacteria
Description: partial 16S ribosomal RNA
Rfam family: Bacterial small subunit ribosomal RNA
Source: RNAcentral
CCUACGGGUGGCAGCAGUAGGGAAUCUUUCACAAUGGGCGAAAGCCUGAUGGAGCAACACCGCGUGCAGGAUGAAGGCCUUCGGGUUGUAAACUGCUUUUAUAAGCGAGAAAUAUGAUGGUAACUUAUGAAUAAGGAUCGGCUAACUACGUGCCAGCAGCCGCGGUCAUACGUAGGAUCCGAGCAUUAUCCGGAGUGACUUGGUGUAAAGAGUUGCGUAGGUGGCAUAAUAAGUAGCUAGUGAAAUCUGGUGGCUCAACCAUUCAGACUAUUAGCUAAACUGUUAAGCUCGAGACCGUUAGGGGUAACUGGAAUUUCUAGUGUAGGAGUGAAAUCCGUAGAUAUUAGAAGGAACACCAAUAGCGUAGGCAGGUUGCUGGGACGGUUCUGACACUAAGGCACGAAAGCGUAGGGAGCAAACGGGAUUAGAUACCCCUGUAGUC